UUUAAUACAGUUUGUACUAAAGGCCAUGAUGAAAAAAGCCUUGAAGAUGACAGAAAUAUGGUCGUAGAGGAGAUGAAGAAAAAACAACCAAAUGGGUCUCUCAUCUCAAAAUUAAUGGAUCUAACAUUCCCAUUGCGCUGACAAGAGAGUGAGAAACAAGGCUGCUGUCCAAGACAUGGCUGAACGUUGGCCAGCACUUUUCAUGGAGAGACAGGUAUUUGCUGAGUUUAACAGAAUUGCCAGCAAGAAUCUUGAAGGAGAUUUCUUUGAGGCUCUGGACCAAUACACACCAAGCUUCAUCCAACUGUUCAGUUGCAAAAAAGGAACUGUUGUAAAGAAACUGACAGAACUGAAGCAGCAAAUUGACUUGAUGUCCUUAGGUGUGGAAACCCUGGAAGAUCUAAAAUAUGUCCAGGAGCCAGAUCUUGUUAACGUCCUGAGGCCAAGCUAGAAAAUUAUUGGACGUAUUAAUGCUUUAUGUGAGAAAGAUGCAGAUGAGAUUCCUGAUCGACUUACCAGAGCUCAGCCGAAUCUAACACUAUGCAGAGAGCCUUCAUCUACAAUGCAGAUAAUUCCAACUCUCCGCCAUCUACAAGUUCAAGUGAAAUCUCAAACCCUCAUAGACCCUCUCCAGUGGACACCAACUGGCACUUCAAUUUUGAGAUACCCUGGAGUAAAAUGCAAUCAGAAAUUACCAGAAAGCUAAAAAACAAGGAGCGACCAACAAGGCAUGAAAGACGUGAACUGAUUCGGCUGAUGGUAGCUGAGAUCCUGACCAUCUGCCCUUCACCAGGGAAGAAACAUCUUAGUGAAAUUGCCAGGAAGAUUAUUUCAACAUAUCCUCAGUCAUACCGAGAUAUCAUUGAAGAUCAAGUUAUAGGUAGUGGUUAUGACUCCCUCACCAAGCAGCUGCAGAGUAGAGUUGACAACAUGAGAAGGGGGAAAAACUCUCUUUUCCUGAAAAGACAGACAUCCAGCACAAGUGAGGGAGAAGACCCACCUUCCAAGAUAAGAGUGGAUACGUAUGACUGUAUAAACUGGCAACCAAAGUGCUUGCCACUUAAUGAAACGGAAGAGACUCAGAAAUGUACACAAGAGGAAUUAAAGAACAUGCACAAAAACAAAAGCAAGAACACAAAGUAUUGAAAAAAAUGGUGGCAACUUUCUACACUCAGAGAAGCAACAUCAUAAGUGGAAUGGAGACCCCUGUUCUGGUGAAAGAGUGACCAUAUCUGUUCGAGAUGUGUGGGAUAAUGGUUCACUUCAAAGAGUAAAUGGGUAUGGAUGUUGACAGAGAAGCCAUUUCAAGUAAAUGUAAAAGAGUCAUUUCAUAUCUCAUCUCCAAUGAGAAGAAGAGCAAAAUUGAGGACAUCUUAUCAGGCAUGGAAAUUGCUAAAGCAAAGGAUCUAGAUGCUGAUCUUCCUGGAUGUGUGUUGCUACUUCUGAAAUACUUCAAUGAAGUACAGGCCAAGACGUUCCAGUUGGUUGAUGAGGCAAGUCUUCCAUCUGAAGUUGAUCAACUACCCAGCACACCUUGCAUUGUUGGAGUUCUCCUCUGACAGCCGGACUCUUUAUGAUUGCUGUGGACCAGAUCAUUGUGAAAGAUGAUAUCACAAAUUGUGAUGAGGGCCUUAAUGAUGUUUGUGAUGUACUACUGCCUCAACAUCAGCUAUACAGCGGAACUUGGUGCAACUCUGGAGUUCAUGCAGAGGUGCCUUUUCGAGAUAAAUCCAGAUAAGGGGACCAAGGUGGAGAAGAGAGUCUAAAAAACAGCAGUCUGUUAAUCCCAAGGUUCUUCCAUUGAUUACAAACAUUGCUAACUUUGAAUGGAGAGAGUAGAAAGCUUCUUGUAUUGCCAGCAUCUUCACUUCAAUUUGUAUUGCCAGCAUCUUCCACUGCAUUUCAAUUUUCUUAUUAUAUUCUUUAUUGUUAAACUGUUCAUUCUGCAGUUAUUUCUUUGGUGGGUGAGUGAGGGGUGGAAAAAUGAUUGAGCAGUGGAUCCUGAAUAGUAUUUUAAUAUUUCAGUUAAAUAAUGUUUAGUUUAGUUAGUAAUGUAGGCUUUGUGAUACAUGUGUAGGAAUAAAAAAAAUUAAUAAUUAAUACCGUAAAAACUGAUUAAUGGUUAAAAAUUGGUUGUUGUUUAACAUUGAUGCUAAGAUGUUGUUAAUGUUGUCAUAAUAUUUGCAAAUAACAAACAAUAAAACCCAAA
This is a non-coding RNA of Paramormyrops kingsleyae, 2209 nucleotides long. Lineage: Eukaryota; Metazoa; Chordata; Actinopteri; Osteoglossiformes; Mormyridae. The record is from RefSeq and is a predicted model, not a curated record.